This 675-nucleotide ribosomal RNA is filed under the name uncultured Bacteroidales bacterium. RNAcentral describes it as "bacterial SSU rRNA". It matches the Rfam family "Bacterial small subunit ribosomal RNA", at positions 69 to 734 of the family's 1533-position model. Lineage: Bacteria; Pseudomonadati; Bacteroidota; Bacteroidia; Bacteroidales. The record is from RNAcentral.
GCAUGGUCUUAGCUUGCUAAGGCUGAUGGCGACCGGCGCACGGGUGAGUAACACGUAUCCAACCUGCCGUCUACUCUUGGCCAGCCUUCUGAAAGGAAGAUUAAUCCAGGAUGGCAUCAUGAGUUCACAUGUCCGCAUGAUUAAAGGUAUUUUCCGGUAGACGAUGGGGAUGCGUUCCAUUAGAUAGUAGGCGGGGUAACGGCCCACCUAGUCAACGAUGGAUAGGGGUUCUGAGAGGAAGGUCCCCCACAUUGGAACUGAGACACGGUCCAAACUCCUACGGGAGGCAGCAGUGAGGAAUAUUGGUCAAUGGGCGAUGGCCUGAACCAGCCAAGUAGCGUGAAGGAUGACUGCCCUAUGGGUUGUAAACUUCUUUUAUAAAGGAAUAAAGUCGGGUAUGCAUACCCGUUUGCAUGUACUUUAUGAAUAAGGAUCGGCUAACUCCGUGCCAGCAGCCGCGGUAAUACGGAGGAUCCGAGCGUUAUCCGGAUUUAUUGGGUUUAAAGGGAGCGUAGAUGGAUGUUUAAGUCAGUUGUGAAAGUUUGCGGCUCAACCGUAAAAUUGCAGUUGAUACUGGAUGUCUUGAGUGCAGUUGAGGCAGGCGGAAUUCGUGGUGUAGCGGUGAAAUGCUUAGAUAUCACGAAGAACUCCGAUUGCGAAGGCAGCCUGCUAAGC